CGAGGGCGGGGGAAAGUGGAGGGAACGGUCCUGCGGGGCGUUCUGUCCAAGAAAAAGGACUGCAGCCUCGGGGAGCCAGCGUACCCUCGCAGAUGAGCUGCCAACGCCACGGAGCCGUUUCUGUUCCACCCUAGGGGAGAAGUAGGGGGAUAUCUUUGUAAAAGUUUAAUUGCAAAAUAAGUAGGUUAGUAAGGCCAUUUGUGGUUGCUGUUUCAGUAACUUCAGCAGUCAACGGAGAGGAGUGGAAACCUUACUGGAUGCGGACAGGAGAGCCAGUUACUGAAGGCAAAUAUAAUAACGCGGAUCCUGUAAAGAGUGGUGUGUAUACAAAAACAAAAAACAAAAAAAAAAACUGUACAAUGUAUUUUAAAACUUGUGUACACAAAACCAAAGAUUUUCUUUUUUACCUAGUCCAAAUGCCGUCCUAGCCUGAGUCCUGCUCUUUAUAAAAAUAAAAUAAAAAGAAUUUGAAGCUUGUGAAAGUC
This 485-nucleotide non-coding RNA is filed under the name Pongo abelii (Sumatran orangutan). Lineage: Eukaryota; Metazoa; Chordata; Mammalia; Primates; Hominidae. The record is from RNAcentral.